This is a long non-coding RNA of Quercus lobata, 601 nucleotides long. RefSeq lists it as uncharacterized. The record is from RefSeq and is a predicted model, not a curated record. The transcript is spliced from 2 exons. Lineage: Eukaryota; Viridiplantae; Streptophyta; Magnoliopsida; Fagales; Fagaceae.
GCGUGUGGGACACGCUGGUUUUUGGCUGAAGCAAAACAAAGGCCAUUUUGGGAGAAAAUAUUAGUUCCUCCGGGAGGACCACUGAUGUGAAAGUAACACAUAUCAUUUCUUUUGUGAUUCAGCUUCACAUCAGCUCCAAACCAAUGGCUUAAAUCUCAUCCGUUUAUUCAAUCCAAUGAUUCUCCAUGACCCUGGCUACAACUGGAAGCCUCCAAGGCUCACACGACCACUACCGGCGGUGCUUGCUGGCCUGACCUUCUCCUCUCUUUAGGUCUCUGUUUUUUCGCUUUCUCAAGUCCAGCCGUGGCCAAGCUUUUGCUUGCACCGCGACACCACCAUUUCUGUCAAGAAGCUGGAGGCGCACCAACUAUAACUUAAUGAGUUGGUCAUGCCAUUUAAGUUUGUAGAAGAACUUGAUCUUGAAGCUUAGAAGAGCUUCUUCUUAUUUUUUUUCUUUUGUGGGAAUUAUGUAUCAUGAAUAUAUGAUGAUGGGAAGAUUUGUUUCUUGUUAACAAAGUGUAUAUUUCAACAAAACUAUUGUUAUAUGGCCUUGUGGUCGAAGUGUACAUUCUAAUAAAAUUUUGUUUAUUUUUAGAACAAC